Molecule: transfer RNA, 55 nt
Filed under: Alcedoecus sp.
Lineage: Eukaryota; Metazoa; Arthropoda; Insecta; Psocodea; Philopteridae
Description: tRNA-Glu
Source: RNAcentral
UUUUACGUAGUUUAUUUAUAUAAAAUGUUCCACUUUCUAUGGAAAGAAGAAUCGU